Molecule: long non-coding RNA, 970 nt
Organism: Dreissena polymorpha
Lineage: Eukaryota; Metazoa; Mollusca; Bivalvia; Myida; Dreissenidae
Exons: 3
Source: RefSeq, a predicted model, not a curated record
ACUAAAACGCUUACGGAAUUUGCAUACAAUAUAGAUAACGUUGAAAACUGCAUACGAUAUGAACAAAGAAGGAAAUUGCAGACGUGAAGAACUCCAAUGAUAUACAUGUAGGGCAUGUGUCCAAAGCUGAUCCACAUCAUAACAUACUCAUUGGGAAUAAUGACAUAGUACCAAAAGAUGUGCUUAUACUGUAAUUAGCAGAUCUUCACAAUUGAACCUGGCAGAUCCUGGUGCAACCUUACCUUACCAUGUUUACAUCUAACCGUCAGUUUGAGCUGUGUGUGGGUGGUAACACGGACUAUAUACAUGUAUUGCCCAGUAAUUGUCUUGUGAUGGACCUUUUUAACAUAUCAAGUAUUUAAUUGAAGACUUAAGAGGUCAGUUUUCAUCAAAGAAUUUAAAAAUACUGUUUUUUUUGUAAGGAUGAAUAUGUGGUUAUAAUGGCAUUGAUGUAUAUCUUGUGUCUGUUUUUUAAUCAGCCUUUCAUCCAUUAUUAUGAAUAUUAAGCAUGAUAAAGUAUUUUAAGGGAAUAUAAUGUAGAAAUGUUAUGUUGUUUCUGCACAAGCUUUUGAAUACAAGAAAUUCCAUGUUCACUCAGCACUGUUUACACAUUGUCAAUGAAUUUGCUUGUUUUAGUUUCCAAAUCUGUCUGUCUCUAGCUCCCUGUGAAUAAUGUACUUUUUUACAUUGCAUCCAUUGAUUUUAAAUGGAGUGUAUUAUGCACAUGUCACACUUUUUUACAAAAACAUCAAGGUCAAAGGUAAAAUAUAUGGGUCAAAAUCAUAACUUUUGCAAUAUUGAAGAUAGCAACUUGAUAUUUGGCAUGCAUGUGUACCUCAUGGAGCUGCACAUUUUGAGUGGUGAAAGGUCAAGGUCAUCCUUCAAGGUCAAAGGUCAAAUAUAUGGGUCAAAAUCGCUCAAAAAGGGACAUUGUGUAUUGUGUUUUACAAACACAUACCUUGUUAUGUUA